GUCCCUGACUUGUUUCAAUUAGGAUAAUGCCUUCAAGGUCAUCCAUAUGUUGCAAAUGGAUUCUCUCAGUGGUGUCCAGUUCUUAUUAUUCUUGGAGGGAGAGCAAAAGUCAGGAACAACCUAUGUCAUCAUCUUCGUGACAUCACUUCCCACCUCGUGUAUUUGAGGGAAGAAAGAAGCCCUUGGAUAAUCUUCUUAAGCACCUCAAAAAAGACCAUUUCCUGUCAGGUAAAUUCCAAGGAACAAGACCAAGGAACAAGAGGAAGCACUCGAUGGCUGAGGAAGUAAAAAAAAAAAUUCAAAAUGCCUGUUAGUGUGUGAAGGAUUUGAUGCAAUUCCAGACAAAACUUCAAUGGGAUAUCUUGGAACUUCAGAAGUUAUUUUAAAGUUCUUUCCAGAUAAGGAGUAUACUACUAUUAUGAAAAGUAAAGUGAAAAAACAAGUGUGAGAACUGAAUGUGUAGUAUAAACCAAUUUAUAUAAAAAUUGGUGGUAAGGAAAUAGAUACUAUGUAUGUUCUUAUAAAUAUAUACAUGGACAAUUUCUGGAAAAAUAUAAUCAAAAGGAGUUAACAGUGGCCCUUGUUGAAGGGGACAUAGUGCAUGGUGAGGGGGAGGACUUUCUGUUUGUGUUAUACCCUUCAAUAUCAUUUGCAUUAUUUUUAUGACCAUGUUGUGCUGUUAUAAUUUCUAGAACUUCUUUAUAUCCAUGUCUUAAACACAAUCAGGGAAUAAUUCUCACUGAAAAUAUUUGUAGAAGUAAAACAACAAAUAUAUGUUUGAAAGCCAUCUGGUUAAGUAUUGGUCCUAGAGUAUUAAAGCAUAUUAUAACAUAAAAUUAUAAACACCUUUAAAUUCUAGGAAAAGAAGACACUGUUGGUGACACAAAAUAUCCCAGAAAUAAAUUUGAAUAUAAUAUAAAAUCAAUACAAAGGAUAUGUCACUAAUAAAUGGAAAAAUAAGAAGUUAUUCAAUCUGGAGCAAUAGUUUAGCAGUUUGGGGGAAAAUCAUGUAGAUUCUCACCUCAUAUCAAACAUCAAAAUAAAUCCCAGAUGGUUUGAGUUAAAUAUAUAAAAACAAAUCAAAAUAGAAAAAAUAGAAGUGAAUAUUUAUCAAACUUUUGAAAGGAGACAACUGAAAAGCAAUGGAAAAAAUAGUAAAUGUCUAGUUAUGUGAACAUCUGAAAUUUCUUUCCUUGCCCAAAGAAGAACCAUGACUACAAGGAAAAGACAAACAUAAACCUGGAGUGGGGAAAAAUCACAAUUAAUUUGAUAGCACUGUUAUAAAUUUGGUAAAAUACCAAGACUUAAAUUGAUGUUGAUAUUCAAUUGAACCAUGUAUAUGCUAUGUUUUUUCCCUACACAUAUAUACCAAUAAUAAGGUUAAAUGCACAAAUUAGGCACAGAGAUUAAUAACUAAUAAUAAAAUAGAAAAAUUGUAACAAUGUAUUAUAAUAAAAGUUAUAGGAAUGUCAUCUCUUUUUCUUUCUCUCAGUAUAUCUUAUUGUACAAUACUUAACCCUUCUUGUGAUGAGAUGAUAAAAUACCUACAUGGUGAGAUGAAGUGAGAUGACUGAUGUAGGCAUUAUGAUAUGACAGUAGGUUACUAUUGAUCUUCUGAUGUUACAUCAGGAGGCAGAUCAUCUGCUUCCAGACACAGUUGACUGCGGGAACCUGAACCCAAGGAAAGUGAGACUGCGGAUAAGUGGGGGGACUGCUGUACAAGGAUCAUAAGAGACUACUGCAAACAAGGAAAAGCCAGCAAAUUAGACAACCAAGAAAAAAAUGGAUAAAUUCCUGGGGACAUACAAGACUGAGUCUUGAAGAAAUAGAAAAUGUGAACAGACCAAUAAUGAGUAAGGAGACUGAAUCAGUGAUCAAAAGCCUCUCAACAAAGAAAAACCCAGGACUAGAUUGCUUCACUGAUGAGUUUUGCCAAACACUUAAAGAGAAUUAAGGCCAGUCCUCACUCUUCUGAAAUGUUGAGGAGAAACGAAUGUUCCCAAACUCAUUUUACAAGGCCAGUAUUAUGCUGACACGAAAGCCAAGUAAAUUCACUACAAAAAAAGAACAUAAUAGGCCAAUAUCUCUGAUGAAUUUAGAUGCAAAAAUUCUUAAUAAAAUACUAGCAAAUUGAAUUCAGCUACACUUUAGAAGGAUCAUACACUAUGAUCGAGUGGGAUUU
This is a long non-coding RNA of Lutra lutra (Eurasian river otter), 2182 nucleotides long. RefSeq lists it as uncharacterized. The record is from RefSeq and is a predicted model, not a curated record. Lineage: Eukaryota; Metazoa; Chordata; Mammalia; Carnivora; Mustelidae. The transcript is spliced from 3 exons.